ACGGGUGAGUAACACGUGAGUAACCUGCCCUUGACUCUGGGAUAAGCGUUGGAAACGACGUCUAAUACCGGAUACGACCUUCGGAGGCAUCUCCUGGGGGUGGAAAGAAUUUCGGUCAAGGAUGGACUCGCGGCCUAUCAGCUAGUUGGUGAGGUAAUGGCUCACCAAGGCGACGACGGGUAGCCGGCCUGAGAGGGUGACCGGCCACACUGGGACUGAGACACGGCCCAGACUCCUACGGGAGGCAGCAGUGGGGAAUAUUGCACAAUGGGCGCAAGCCUGAUGCAGCAACGCCGCGUGAGGGACGACGGCCUUCGGGUUGUAAACCUCUUUUAGUAGGGAAGAAGCGAAAGUGACGGUACCUGCAGAAAAAGCACCGGCUAACUACGUGCCAGCAGCCGCGGUAAUACGUAGGGUGCAAGCGUUAUCCGGAAUUAUUGGGCGUAAAGAGCUCGUAGGCGGUUUGUCGCGUCUGCUGUGAAAACCCGAGGCUCAACCUCGGGCCUGCAGUGGGUACGGGCAGACUAGAGUGCGGUAGGGGAGAUUGGAAUUCCUGGUGUAGCGGUGGAAUGCGCAGA
This 578-nucleotide ribosomal RNA is filed under the name Microbacteriaceae bacterium RDB-033. Its description in RNAcentral is "bacterial SSU rRNA". It matches the Rfam family "Bacterial small subunit ribosomal RNA", at positions 102 to 694 of the family's 1533-position model. Lineage: Bacteria; Bacillati; Actinomycetota; Actinomycetes; Micrococcales; Microbacteriaceae. The record is from RNAcentral.